RNAcentral lists this ribosomal RNA (486 nucleotides) under uncultured bacterium. RNAcentral's name for it is "partial 16S ribosomal RNA". It matches the Rfam family "Bacterial small subunit ribosomal RNA", at positions 354 to 832 of the family's 1533-position model. The record is from RNAcentral.
GUGGGGAAUAUUGGACAAUGGGCGCAAGCCUGAUCCAGCCAUGCCGCGUGUGUGAAGAAGGCCUUAGGGUUGUAAAGCACUUUCAGGGGUGAGGAAGGGCGUUUGGUUAAUACCCAGAUGUCUUGACGUUAGCCCCAGAAGAAGCACCGGCUAACUCUGUGCCAGCAGCCGCGGUAAUACAGAGGGUGCAAGCGUUAAUCGGAAUUACUGGGCGUAAAGCGCGCGUAGGUGGUUUGUUAAGUAGGAUGUGAAAUCCCAGGGUUCAACCUGGGAAUGSCACCCGAUACUGGCAAGYUAGAGUAUGGUAGAGGGGUGUGGAAUUUCCUGUGUAGCGGUGAAAUGSGUAGAUAUAGGAAGGAACAUCAGUGGSGARGGCGACACCYUGGACUGAUAYUGACAUUGAGGUGGGAAAGCGUGGGGAGCAAMCAGGAUUAGAUACCCUGKURKUCCACGCCGUAAASGAUGUUUAYURGCCGUUGGGUCGUA